RNAcentral lists this ribosomal RNA (226 nucleotides) under uncultured bacterium. RNAcentral's name for it is "partial 16S ribosomal RNA". It matches the Rfam family "Bacterial small subunit ribosomal RNA", at positions 538 to 763 of the family's 1533-position model. The record is from RNAcentral.
GCGUUGUCCGGAUUUAUUGGGCGUAAAGCGCGCGCAGGCGGUUCGUUAAGUUCGGUGUGAAAGCUCCCGGCUCAACUGGGAGAGGUCAUCGGAUACUGGCGGACUCGAGGGAGGUAGAGGAAGGUGGAAUUCCCGGUGUAGUGGUGAAAUGCGUAGAGAUCGGGAGGAACACCAGUGGCGAAGGCGGCCUUCUGGGCCUUUCCUGACGCUGAGGCGCGAAAGCGUG